AAGGCAGCCUUGCAGUAUUUGUACUACACAUAGGUACUGGUGAAAACGUGUUUAACCAGUGCCUGGUCUAGUGCAAGCACUGCUCCAAGCCUAUUUAGCU
This 100-nucleotide microRNA precursor is filed under the name Caenorhabditis japonica. RNAcentral describes it as "pre miRNA CJA48875". The stretch from base 13 to 83 matches the Rfam family "mir-239 microRNA precursor family". Lineage: Eukaryota; Metazoa; Nematoda; Chromadorea; Rhabditida; Rhabditidae. The record is from RNAcentral.